Molecule: long non-coding RNA, 706 nt
Organism: Gallus gallus (chicken)
Lineage: Eukaryota; Metazoa; Chordata; Aves; Galliformes; Phasianidae
Source: Ensembl
CUUGCAGGGGAGCUGGAACAUGAUGAUCCUUGAGGCCUCUUCCCAUCUGUAAGAGAUUAUUCUUUUGCAUCAUUGUUUCAAAGCUUGCUGAGGACACAGAUGGACAAGUCUAGGCAAGUCCUAGUCAAAGUUAGCAAAAUCUUUUGUCUGAAGAUUUUCAGUCCAGGGACAAUGUGAGAGAAAUAAGCCACAGCUUAAAGGCUGGGAACCAGUCUUUUGUGUGGGCUUAUCUUGAGGGAGAUAGCCAUCUCAGGGGGUACUGCACAUGGCUCUUACCGAAGUACCCAGGAAUGCCACAUUGGCAAAAGAAGAAGGAUAAAAAGAGGACCAACAACCAUGAGGUUUCUGACAUCAGAUUCCUCACAGCGUGAUGCCUGCACGCUGAAGAAAAAGGUGUCUGACAUCAGAUGCUUCAUGAUGUGACACCUUGCAUGAUGACAGACUCUCCUGGGCCUGCUACCUAAGACCUGCCACUUCCUCUUGGACUUACCCUGUCCCUGUACCUUCUUGCUGCCUAAGGCCGACCUCUCUGCUGCUGCUCUCAUCCUGCGCUUUUGCCUUGGACCAUUGGAAUGGCAUGCAACAGGACCGCUGCUGGAUCUUGGUGUGGUUGGUGUUUUUUCUUCCUGAAGCAAACAACCUCAACCACUGUGAUGACCAAGAGAAAAAUAAAAUGAGAAGAAUUUGAAAAUGUUGUAGUGGAAAG